GGGGUUGACUGGAUUUGACAGCGGGUUGAAAUGGUACGUAAGCACGCGGAGCGUCGGCUGUUUGCUCCUAAAUAUCAGCGGUCAAACAAUUAAUUGGCGAAAACAACUACGCUCUCGCUGCUUAAUCGAAGCACAGUAGAUUAUUGGCUUAAUUCUGUCACCAGGUGAUAGAACGAGACGUCGCUCCGAGGAUGUUGUUCCGAAUCCAAAGAUUCAGCGGCGCAGAAAACAUCGGAAAUAGUCGUUGUAUGCCUCGAUGCAUCGAUGAAAUUUUAGAGGAUAAGGCAUCAGUUGGUGGUCCAGGUCUUGCUGCUGCUCGAAAACCAAAGGCUGGAAUAAGCGUGUAGAAAGCGUAUGGUUUCCCUGUUUGGACGAGGGUUCGACUCCCUCCAGCUCCACA
RNAcentral lists this transfer-messenger RNA (400 nucleotides) under uncultured Prevotella sp. It matches the Rfam family "transfer-messenger RNA". Rfam says of the family: Bacterial tmRNA, also known as 10Sa RNA or SsrA, is named for its dual tRNA and mRNA-like properties. Its role is to liberate the mRNA from a stalled ribosome. Lineage: Bacteria; Pseudomonadati; Bacteroidota; Bacteroidia; Bacteroidales; Prevotellaceae. The record is from RNAcentral.